UUUCUUUCUGCUUUCCUAUUUUAAACAGAUUUGUUAUUCUUGCAGAGCUGUUAAGCCAUUUUAAGGGAUGCCAAGGUGUCCUCUGACCUCUGAGUAAGGAGUGGUCCUUGCUGGUAGUCCUUUAUACCAUCUGCCAUGAAGUAUGAGAUCCAAAAUCCACUCUUUUCUCCUGAAAAUAUCCAUUAGAUUCAGAGAACAGUUGAUCAAGGGGGAGAGGAGGGGAGAUGGUGUGUUUCUUCACCAGUAGCUGGAAAACAAGGAGGAUGGAUAGAUUGUGUGUCAGGAUUGCUGGGAAAACCAUUUGUGCCUGCUGACUUCAAGGUUUGCUGCUCUGGAGCGUGGACCCAGCCUGUUCCCAGGAUGGUGCUGCUUUGCUCAGAAAAGCAAAUAGUGAAAAAUUAUUUCAGCUGAAGAGAAGCAGAAUGUGGCUCUUCAUCAACGAACAAAACUCUCCAGGUUGGUGGAGAAAGUGGCAAAGAAAAACAAGUCUGGGAAGGCUGUGAUGAUUAAAAAGGCAGACAAGUUUUGAAGAGUAAACUGGAAACCAUCCUCAAUUAAUUCUUGAACUGCUGACUUCCCAAACCAAUUUAGUCAUUCAUCC
Molecule: long non-coding RNA, 601 nt
Filed under: Parus major (Great Tit)
Lineage: Eukaryota; Metazoa; Chordata; Aves; Passeriformes; Paridae
Description: lncRNA (ENSPMJG00000018096.1)
Source: RNAcentral